Molecule: long non-coding RNA, 696 nt
Organism: Aphis gossypii (cotton aphid)
Lineage: Eukaryota; Metazoa; Arthropoda; Insecta; Hemiptera; Aphididae
Exons: 3
Source: RefSeq, a predicted model, not a curated record
AGUAAGUUUAAAGAGUUCUAUCGACAGUUGGAAGGUGGAUUGUUUUUUGAAGUGCUAGUCUUGGAUCUUUUAUAGGACAAGUACCUACCUACUACCUAUUGAUGAUUCAUCUUAGAUCGUUGGUGGUAGGUAGUACCAUACUACUACAAUAUGUUAAUAAACGAUAAUAAUCAUAAUAAUUUAUUAUUUCUCGCGUGUAGUUAAACGUCCAGGAAAAUCCCAAUAGAUAAUAAUUAAUGAUUGCAGGUAAUCAAAUUAAAAGUAAUUAUAAAUCGACUGAGAUACGUAUCAAGAAAAUACGUAACAAAUUCCAAAGAUUACAAUAUUAAAGUAAAUAUUUAAAUUAUUAUACAGUUUUAUGGUUCAUCAAACAUCACGCAUUCACGUGUCUAAUGUCUAUAUCAAUAAUAUUAUUAUAGGUAAAACCCGUAAAUAAUGACUGCGAGCUAAUGUUAUUUGAAAGUUAUUAUAUAGUUUAUUACAAUUUUGAAUUUUGAACAAUUUCGAUCCAUAAUGUUGACCCGGGUGAGUUUACUAUUUUAAAAAAUCGGGAGAGUUUACCACCGCCCAGACUUGGAACAUUUUGCCAUUACAAACAGUAGUUAAAAUAUGAAUAACUAAUAAGGAAAUAGACGGUCAAGGAUAUAUAAUACCAAUAAUAUAAGUGUAAAAAACAAAAUGUAAAUUAAGCAAGCA